UGAGCAAUCUGCCCUUCACAUCGGGAUAACCCCCGGAAACGGGAGCUAAUACCGGAUACGACCACUUCAGGCAUCUGAUGGUGGUGGAAAGUUCUGGCGGUGAAGGAUGAGCUCGCGGCCUAUCAGCUUGUUGGUGGGGUAAUGGCCCACCAAGGCUUCGACGGGUAGCCGGCCUGAGAGGGUGACCGGCCACACUGGGACUGAGACACGGCCCAGACUCCUACGGGA
This 228-nucleotide ribosomal RNA is filed under the name uncultured bacterium. RNAcentral's name for it is "partial 16S ribosomal RNA". It matches the Rfam family "Bacterial small subunit ribosomal RNA", at positions 118 to 346 of the family's 1533-position model. The record is from RNAcentral.